Molecule: ribosomal RNA, 484 nt
Filed under: Flexibacter maritimus-like bacterium S3C18
Lineage: Bacteria; Pseudomonadati; Bacteroidota
Description: bacterial SSU rRNA
Rfam family: Bacterial small subunit ribosomal RNA
Source: RNAcentral
UAACUCCGUGCCCAGCACCCGCGGUAAUACGGGAGGUUGCAAGCUUUAUCCGGAAUCAUUGGGUUUAAAAGGGGUCCGCAGGCGGUCAAAUAAAGUCAGAGNUGAAAUCCCAUAGCUUAACUAUGGGAACUGCUUUUGAUACUGUUGACUUGAGUUAUACGGAAGUAGAUAGAAUGUGUAGUGUAGCGGUGAAAUGCAUAGAGAUUACACAGAAUACCGAUUGCGAAGGCAGUCUACUACGUAUAUACUGACGCUCAUGGACGAAAGCGUGGGGAGCGAACGGGAUUAGAUACCCCGGUAGUCCACGCCGUAAACGAUGGACACUAGUUGUUGGGGUUUACCUCAGUGACUAAGCGAAAGUGAUAAGUGUCCCACCUGGGGAGUACGAUCGCAAGAUUGAAACUCAAAGGAAUUGACGGGGGCCGCACAAGCGGUGGAGCAUGUGGUUUAAUUCGAUGAUACGCGAGGAACCUUACCAGGGCUU